GAGUAACGCGUGGGUAACCUGCCUUGUACUGGGGGAUAGCAGCUGGAAACGGCUGGUAAUACCGCAUAAGCGCACAAUGUUGCAUGACAUGGUGUGAAAAACUCCGGUGGUAUAAGAUGGACCCGCGUCUGAUUAGCUAGUUGGUGAGAUAACAGCCCACCAAGGCGACGAUCAGUAGCCGACCUGAGAGGGUGACCGGCCACAUUGGGACUGAGACACGGCCCAGACUCCUACGGGAGGCAGCAUG
This 247-nucleotide ribosomal RNA is filed under the name uncultured bacterium. RNAcentral describes it as "partial 16S ribosomal RNA". It matches the Rfam family "Bacterial small subunit ribosomal RNA", at positions 108 to 353 of the family's 1533-position model. The record is from RNAcentral.